UACGAAGGGGGCUAGCGUUGUUCGGAUUCAUUGGGCGUAAAGGGUGCGUAGGUGGCGCCGUAAGUCAGGUGUGAAAUCCCGGGGCUCAACCCCGGAACUGCACUUGAUACUGCGGUGCUCGAGUACUGGAGAGGAGAUUGGAAUUUACGGUGUAGCAGUGAAAUGCGUAGAUAUCGUAAGGAAGACCAGUGGCGAAGGCGAAUCUCUGGACAGUUACUGACACUGAGGCACGAAGGCCAGGGGAGCAAACGGG
RNAcentral lists this ribosomal RNA (253 nucleotides) under uncultured bacterium. RNAcentral's name for it is "partial 16S ribosomal RNA". It matches the Rfam family "Bacterial small subunit ribosomal RNA", at positions 524 to 776 of the family's 1533-position model. The record is from RNAcentral.